GGGAGUAUGGUGAAAUUGGUAGACACAAGGGAUUUAAAAUCCCUCGCUUUAUUGCGUGUCGGUUCGAGUCCGACUAUUCCCA
This 82-nucleotide transfer RNA is filed under the name Salmonella enterica. RNAcentral describes it as "tRNA-Leu". It matches the Rfam family "tRNA". From Rfam's summary of the family: Transfer RNA (tRNA) molecules are approximately 80 nucleotides in length. Their secondary structure includes four short double-helical elements and three loops (D, anti-codon, and T loops). The record is from RNAcentral. RNAcentral also lists the same sequence under 3 other names. Lineage: Bacteria; Pseudomonadati; Pseudomonadota; Gammaproteobacteria; Enterobacterales; Enterobacteriaceae.